RNAcentral lists this ribosomal RNA (497 nucleotides) under uncultured bacterium. RNAcentral's name for it is "partial 16S ribosomal RNA". It matches the Rfam family "Bacterial small subunit ribosomal RNA", at positions 28 to 507 of the family's 1533-position model. The record is from RNAcentral.
GAUGAACGCUGGCGGCGUGCCUAAUACAUGCAAGUCGAGCGAACGGACGAGAAGCUUGCUUCUCUGAUGUUAGCGGCGGACGGGUGAGUAACACGUGGAUAACCUACCUAUAAGACUGGGAUAACUUCGGGAAACCGGAGCUAAUACCGGAUGAUAUAUUGAACCGCAUGGUUCAAUAGUGAAAGACGGUCUUGCUGUCACUUAUAGAUGGAUCCGCGCUGCAUUAGCUAGUUGGUAAGGUAACGGCUUACCAAGGCAACGAUGCAUAGCCGACCUGAGAGGGUGGUAGGCCACACGAGAGCUGGGACACGGUCCAGACGACUGCGGGAGGCAGCAGUAGGGAAUCUGAGGCAGUGGGCGAGAGCAUGACGGAGCAGGGCGGCGUGAGUGAUGAAGGUCUUGGGAGCGUAAAACUCUGUUAUUAGGGAAGAACAAAUGUGGAAGUAACUAUGCACUGCUUGACGGUACCUAAUCAGAAAGCCACGGCUAACUACGUG